RNAcentral lists this ribosomal RNA (429 nucleotides) under Chloroflexota bacterium. Its description in RNAcentral is "Chloroflexi bacterium partial 16S ribosomal RNA". It matches the Rfam family "Bacterial small subunit ribosomal RNA", at positions 355 to 776 of the family's 1533-position model. Lineage: Bacteria; Bacillati; Chloroflexota. The record is from RNAcentral.
UAGGGAAUCUUCGGCAAUGGACGAAAGUCUGACCGAGCAACGCCGCGUGAGUGAAGAAGGUUUUCGGAUCGUAAAACUCUGUUGUUAGAGAAGAACAAGGACGUUAGUAACUGAACGUCCCCUGACGGUAUCUAACCAGAAAGCCACGGCUAACUACGUGCCAGCAGCCGCGGUAAUACGUAGGUGGCAAGCGUUGUCCGGAUUUAUUGGGCGUAAAGCGAGCGCAGGCGGUUUCUUAAGUCAGAUGUGAAAGCCCCCGACUCAACCGGGGAGUGUCAUUGGAAACUGGGAGACUUGAGUGCAGAAGAGGAGAGUGGAAUUCCAUGUGUAGCGGUGAAAUGCGUAGAUAUAUGGAGGAACACCAGUGGCGAAGGCGGCUCUCUGGUCUGUAACUGACGCUGAGGCUCGAAAGCGUGGGGAGCAAACAGG